AGAACGAACGCUGGCGGCAGGCUUAACACAUGCAAGUCGAACGCUCGUAGCAAUACGGGAGUGGCAGACGGGUGAGUAACGCGUGGGAACAUACCCUCCGGUUCGGAAUAGCUCAGGGAAACUUGGAUUAAUACCGGAUACGGCCGAGAGGCGAAAGAUUUAUCGCCGGAGGAUUGGCCCGCGUUCGAUUAGCUAGUUGGUGAGGUAACGGCUCACCAAGGCGAUGAUCGAUAGCUGGUCUGAGAGGAUGAUCAGCCACAUUGGGACUGAGACACGGCCCAAACUCCUACGGGAGGCAGCAGUGGGGAAUAUUGGACAAUGGGCGCAAGCCUGAUCCAGCCAUGCCGCGUGAGUGAUGACGGCCUUAGGGUUGUAAAGCUCUUUCGCUCGGGACGAUAAUGACGGUACCGAGAUAAGAAGCCCGGCUAACUUCGUGCCAGCAGCCGC
Molecule: ribosomal RNA, 447 nt
Filed under: uncultured bacterium
Lineage: Bacteria
Description: SSU rRNA
Rfam family: Bacterial small subunit ribosomal RNA
Source: RNAcentral